Small nuclear RNA from Neogale vison (American mink), 107 nucleotides. The record is from Ensembl. Lineage: Eukaryota; Metazoa; Chordata; Mammalia; Carnivora; Mustelidae.
GUGCUCACUUAAGCAGCACAUAUACUAAAAUUUGAACAACACAAAGAGGAUUAGCAUGGCCCCCGCACAAAGAUGACACACAACUUCAUGAAACAUUAAAAAGAAAG